RNAcentral lists this ribosomal RNA (465 nucleotides) under uncultured bacterium. RNAcentral describes it as "partial 16S ribosomal RNA". It matches the Rfam family "Bacterial small subunit ribosomal RNA", at positions 338 to 795 of the family's 1533-position model. The record is from RNAcentral.
CCUACGGGAGGCAGCAGUGGGGAAUAUUGCGCAAUGGGCGAAAGCCUGACGCAGCGACGCCGCGUGAGGGAUGAAGGUCUUCGGAUCGUAAACCUCUGUCAGCAGGGAAGAACGGUCACUGUGCUAAUCAGCAGUGAAUUGACGGUACCUGCAAAGGAAGCACCGGCUAACUCCGUGCCAGCAGCCGCGGUAAUACGGAGGGUGCGAGCGUUAAUCGGAAUUACUGGGCGUAAAGCGCUCGUAGGCGGUAUGUCAAGUCAAGGGGGAAAUCCCCGCGCUCAACGUGGGAACUGGCUUUGAAAAUGGCAAACUGGAGUGUGUGAGAGGAUAGUGGAAUUCCAGGUGUAGGAGUGAAAUCCGUAGAUAUCUGGAGGAACAUCAGUGGCGAAGGCGACUAUCUGGCACAUAACUGACGCUGAGGAGCGAAAGCGUGGGUAGCAAACAGGAUUAGAUACCCGAGUAGUC